CAGUAGUCACGAGUUUGAUCAUGGCUCAGAUUGAACGCUGGCGGCAUGCCUAACACAUGCAAGUCGAACGAGACCUUCGGGUCUAGUGGCGCACGGGUGCGUAACACGUGGGAAUUUGCCUCGGGGUAUGGAAUAACUCAGGGAAACUUGAGCUAAUACCAUAUAAUGUCUUCGGACCAAAGAUUUAUCGCCCUGAGAUAAGCCCGCGUAGGAUUAGCUAGUUGUGGGGUAAAGGCUCACCAAGGCGACGAUCCUUAGCUGGUCUGAGAGGAUGAUCAGCCACACUGGGACUGAGACACGGCCCAGACUCCUACGGGAGGCAGCAGUGGGGGAAUAUUGGACAAUGGGCGAAAGCCUGAUCCAGCAAUGCCGCGUGAGUGAUGAAGGCCUUCGGGUUGUAAAGCUCUUUUACUCGGGACGAUAAUGACGGUACCGAGAGAAUAAGCCCCGGCUAACUCCGUG
Molecule: ribosomal RNA, 462 nt
Filed under: uncultured bacterium
Lineage: Bacteria
Description: bacterial SSU rRNA
Rfam family: Bacterial small subunit ribosomal RNA
Source: RNAcentral